AGUGAGCGCUGGCGGUAGGCCUAACACAUGCAAGUCGAACGGCAGCACAGUAAGAGCUUGCUCUUACGGGUGGCGAGUGGCGGACGGGUGAGGAAUACAUCGGAAUCUACUUUUUCGUGGGGGAUAACGUAGGGAAACUUACGCUAAUACCGCAUACGACCUACGGGUGAAAGCAGGGGAUCUUCGGACCUUGCGCGAUUGAAUGAGCCGAUGUCGGAUUAGCUAGUUGGCGGGGUAAAGGCCCACCAAGGCGACGAUCCGUAGCUGGUCUGAGAGGAUGAUCCGCCACACUGGAACUGAGGCACGUUCCAGACUCCUACGGGAGGCAGCAGUGGGGAAUAUUGGACAAUGGGCGCAAGCCUGAUCCAGCCAUACUGCGUGGGUGAAGAAGGCCUUCGGGUUGUAAAGCCCUUUUGUUGGGAAAGAAAAGCAGCAGGUUAAUACCCCGCUGUUCUGACGGUACCCAAAGAAUAAGCACCGGCUAACUUCGUG
RNAcentral lists this ribosomal RNA (492 nucleotides) under uncultured bacterium. RNAcentral describes it as "partial 16S ribosomal RNA". It matches the Rfam family "Bacterial small subunit ribosomal RNA", at positions 29 to 507 of the family's 1533-position model. The record is from RNAcentral.